AUUGAACGCUGGCGGCAGGCCUAACACAUGCAAGUCGAACGGUAGCACAGAGAGCUUGCUCUCGGGUGACGAGUGGCGGACGGGUGAGUAAUGUCUGGGAAACUGCCCGAUGGAGGGGGAUAACUACUGGAAACGGUAGCUAAUACCGCAUAACGUCGCAAGACCAAAGUGGGGGACCUUCGGGCCUCACACAAUCGGAUGUGCCCAGAUGGGAUUAGCUAGUAGGUGGGGUAAUGGCUCACCUAGGCGACGAUCCCUAGCUGGUCUGAGAGGAUGACCAGCCACAUUGGAACUGAGACACGGUCCAGACUCCGACGGGAGGCAGCAGUGGGGAAUAUUGCACAAUGGGCGCAAGCCUGAUGCAGCCAUGCCGCGUGUAUGAAGAAGGCCUUCGGGUUGUAAAGUACUUUCAGCGGGGAGGAAGGCGGUGAAGUUAAUAACUUCACCGAUUGACGUUACCCGCAGAAGAAGCACCGGCUAACUCCGUGCCAGCCGCCGCGGUAA
RNAcentral lists this ribosomal RNA (504 nucleotides) under uncultured bacterium. RNAcentral describes it as "partial 16S ribosomal RNA". It matches the Rfam family "Bacterial small subunit ribosomal RNA", at positions 30 to 523 of the family's 1533-position model. The record is from RNAcentral.